RNAcentral lists this non-coding RNA (30 nucleotides) under Rattus norvegicus (Norway rat). The record is from RNAcentral. Lineage: Eukaryota; Metazoa; Chordata; Mammalia; Rodentia; Muridae.
UGGAAAUGUGUGUUUACUUUUCACUGGGUA